AUGACACCGGCUAGGCAAUGGAGGGCACGGGUGUCAAAAUGGACGAAAAGUGAGUUUGACACCACAUUUGGCCUGGAGCGCCUUUUGAAACAGAGACAGGCAGGGAGGGAGCGGAGAAGAGAGCGGAGGGGAAGAGCGGCUUCGACGCAAGUCACCGGCGUCGAUAUCCCCAGCCACGGCGACGCGUCGCCCGCUUCUUCGGGCCCUGCGAAGCGGCAGCAGCUCAAGCAACUAAUGACAGGGGUUCUGAAUGCCUUGGCAUCUUACGUGACCAAGAUGAUCGCCGACAUGGCUAGAGAAGAGGUGGCCAUGCUGAUCGGGAUCUCCAGCGCGAUCGCCGAUCUGACCAUCAAGCUUGGGGACCUCAAGAAUUUCCUUGCUGACGCCGAUAGAAGAAACAUCACUGACGAGAGUGUCCGGGGGUGGGUGGAGGAACUGAAGCAUGCCAUGUACCACGCUACCGACAUCAUCGAUCUGUGUCAGCUCAAGGCCAUGGAGCAAAGUCCAUCCAAGGACAUAGGGUGUCUUAACCCCUUGUUCUCAUGCAUGCAAAAUCCUCUCCAUGCACACGACAUCGGCAGCCGCAUCAAGGCACUGAACAAGGAGUUGGAUAACAUCAGCAAGAGGGGUCGUAGUUUCAAUUUCAUCAAGCUCGAAGUCUACCAGGACCAGAAGACAAAUCGGCCUCAUGGUAUUGACCGCAAGACUAAUCCUUUGUUGGAGCGGUCGGGCGUGGUUGGGGAGAAGAUUGAAGAUGACACGAGAUCACUUGUUCAGCUGCUCACGAAGGAAGUUGACACGAGUGAAAGCAUCAUGGUGUUCGCCAUCGUUGGUGUUGGCGGGAUUGGUAAGACCACCCUUAGCAAGAAAGUCUUUAACGACGAAGCAAUACAAGGCAAGUUCACCAAGAAAAUAUGGUUAAGUAUUACACAAGAAUUCAGCGAGGUUGACUUAUUGAGGACAGCCAUCACUACCGCCGAAGGAAAUUUGCCAGGACCUGGGGGUGGAUCUCAAGACAAAACUUUGCUUGUGCCGGCUCUUGCGAGUGCUAUCAAAGAUAAGAAGCUAUUUCUUGUGUUGGAUGACAUGUGGGGCACCUAUGAAUGGACCAACUUGCUUAGGGCUCCCAUUAGCCACAGUGCCCCGGGUAGCCGAGUCCUCGUCACCACAAGACAUGAAACUGUUGCCCGAGGAAUGAAAGCAGUAAAUCCAUACCACCGCAUCAACAAAUUAGGGCCCAAAGAUGGCUGGUCAUUGCUCACGAAGCAAGUACUCAUGACCAAGAAAAGCGAACCUGCAGUGGAUAUGCUGAAGGAUAUUGGAAUGCAAAUUGUAGAAAAAUGUGAUGGGUUAUCACUUGCCAUAAAAGUGAUGGGAGGACUCCUAUGCCAUAAGGAAAAAACCCGACGUGAUUGGGAGAAGGUAUUGAAUGAUGCUGUAUGGUCAAUAUCUCAAAUGCCAGAAGAGCUAAAUCAUGCCAUAUAUCUUAGCUAUGAGGACUUGUCCCCUUGUUUAAAGCAAUGCUUUCUGCACUUCUCCCUUAAGCCUAAAAAGAUGAUUUUAGAUGAUACACAAUUCAUCAACAUGUGGAUUGGUGAAGGAUUUGUUCAUGGAAACUCGGAUAUAUUGGAAGAAAUAGGAACUGAGUACCAUACAGAGUUGAGGUUGAGGAACCUUAUAGAGUCGGAUACAUCAUAUGCCAGUCACUAUGUUUGCAAGAUGCAUGAUGUUAUUCGUUCAUUUGCUCAAUUCAUGACAAGAAAUGAAGCACUAGUAGCUCAUAAUGGAGAAACUGUUAAUAGUAAACUUCAUUUGCAAAAGUUUCUCCGGUUGUCUAUAGAGACUAAUGGAUUGGAAUCGGAUGAAUUUGAGUGGAGAAGUUUACAAGGGCAAAUAUCUCUAAGAUCGUUAAUGUUAAUUGGAAACUUCAAGGUUCAGUCUGGUGAUUCCUUGGUUACCUUUUCAAGUCUGCGGACUCUACACGUAGAGUCUGCAGAGUUCGCCACAAUGGUUGAAUCUCUAUAUCAUCUCAAACACUUGAGGUAUUUGUCAAUGGAUAGAUGCGCUGAUAUAGAUUGCUUGCCAGAGAACAUUCACAAAAUGAAGUUCUUACAACACAUUAGUCUUGAAGGUUGUGAGAAUCUUGUGAAACUUCCUGAUAGCAUUGUGAAGUUAACGGAACUAAGAUAUCUUCAACUUGAAGGCACAGGUAUAUAUAGUAUUCCUAGGGGUUUCCAUGCUCUAACAAAUUUGAGGACACUAUCUGGUUUCCAAGUACACAUGGAUGGUGAUUGGUGUAGCUUGGAAGAGCUUGGACCUCUUUCCCAGCUUAGGGGCAUUGGAUUAGUGGGCCUGGGGAAUGUAUCUGAUGCUUCAUUUGUCACAAAGGUUAGGCUUGAUCAAAAAGUGCAUCUUUCUAGGAUGCGCUUAUUAUCCAGCAUUGCAUGUAAGAAUAAUCAAGGAGUAAUUGAGGAGGUGUUUAAUGAGCUAUCUCCUCCUCCGUGCAUAGAAAUUAUUUCCGUUGAAGGAUAUAUCGGGCGCCAGCUGCCAAGAUGGAUGAUGUCGACAGCAACAAUGCGCCUCAAUAGCUUGAGGACACUAGUGAUGGAAGAUUUGGCUUGUUGCAUCCAACUUCCUGAUGGAUUAUGUCAGCUCCCAUUGCUGGACUACCUGCAAGUCAACCGUGCUCCAGCGAUCAAGUGCAUUGGGCCAGAAUUUGUGCGCCCCCAAAGCCACCGUUGCUAUCCUUCAUCCCACAUGGUGACUGCAUUUCCGAGGCUGCGUGAGAUGGAUUUAUUAGAAUUCGUGGAAUUGGAGGAGUGGGAGUGGGAGGAGGAAGUGCAAGCUAUGCCAGUCUUGGUUGAGCUUACUUUCACAAGGUGUAAUUUGAAGUGUAUCCCUCCCGGUCUUGCCUCACAUGCAAAGGCUUUGAAAAAGUUAACCUUGUGGAGCAUGUGGCGUCUCCAUUCGCUAGAGAACUUUGCUUCUGUUGUUGAGCUCGACCUGUAUGACUUACCCAAGCUGAUUAGUAUCUCCAAUUUCCCUGAAUUGCAAAAGCUUGAGAUCAAGUCUUGCCCCGAGCUCACCUCACUAGAGGAAAUGAGUGCACUACGGAGACUUGUGCUGACAGUUCCCGGCUACGGUGAAAGAUUCCGACUCUCGCCCAACAAGAUGGGACUCCCCUUGUACCUUCAAACUGUAAAUCCAAGCCAUUUGCUGGUGGAUUGCGGUCUGGAGAUACUUGGUUUCAUGGCCGCAGGAAAAUCUGGCAGCGAGUGGGACAAGUUUAGCCAUAUCCAGCAUGUUGAGGCUUAUGCAGACAGUGAUUGCUGGGAUGACAAGAAAUGGCACGUAUUGUACACAAGGGAACCUUUCAGCAUUGAAACAAAUGUGCAGCCUGCAUUUCCGCGCUUGCUUAUAGGAGGAGCAAGAACUGCCCGCUGA
RNAcentral lists this ribosomal RNA (3444 nucleotides) under Triticum aestivum (bread wheat). RNAcentral describes it as "partial small subunit ribosomal RNA". The record is from RNAcentral. Lineage: Eukaryota; Viridiplantae; Streptophyta; Magnoliopsida; Poales; Poaceae.